UACGAAGGGUGCAAGCGUUACUCGGAAUUACUGGGCGUAAAGAGCUCGUAGGCGGUUUGUCGCGUCGGCUGUGAAAACUCGGGGCUCAACCCCGAGCCUGCAGUCGAUACGGGCAGACUAGAGUGCUGUAGGGGAGACUGGAAUUCCUGGUGUAGCGGUGAAAUGCGCAGAUAUCAGGAGGAACACCGGUGGCGAAGGCGGGUCUCUGGGCAGUAACUGACGCUGAGGAGCGAAAGCGUGGGGAGCGAACAGG
This 253-nucleotide ribosomal RNA is filed under the name uncultured bacterium. Its description in RNAcentral is "partial 16S ribosomal RNA". It matches the Rfam family "Bacterial small subunit ribosomal RNA", at positions 524 to 776 of the family's 1533-position model. The record is from RNAcentral.